UACGAAGGUGGCUAGCGUUGUUCGGAUUUAUUGGGCGUAAAGGGUCCGCAGGCGGUUUGGAAAGUCAGGUGUGAAAUCCCACAGCUCAACUGUGGACACGCAUUUGAAACUUCCAGACUAGAGUAUGAGAGGGGUAAAAGGAAUUUCCAGUGUAGGGGUGAAAUCCGUAGAUAUUGGAAAGAACACCGGCCGCGAAGGCGUUUUACUGGCUCAUUACUGACGCUCAGGGACGAAAGCCAGGGGAGCAAACGGG
This 253-nucleotide ribosomal RNA is filed under the name uncultured bacterium. Its description in RNAcentral is "partial 16S ribosomal RNA". It matches the Rfam family "Bacterial small subunit ribosomal RNA", at positions 524 to 776 of the family's 1533-position model. The record is from RNAcentral.